GGGCACCUGCCUUGAAAUACCCGCGACGCUCGGAUCGGAGUCUGACGAUGGUCAGCAGGUGGCACUCUCGUUUUAGGAUUCCAGCCCCUAAAUGACAAUAACUGAGAGUCACUUUUCAUGUAGUAGAUCUGGCUCAAGACUUUUAUGAAAUGUGAAAUUUAAUAUUCAUUCCUGAAAUGAGGAUUCAUCUCUUUAAAAGCUGUUCACUAUUUCACUCCAGAUUUCUUUCAGAGUAAAUACUGAAAAGUCAAAGGACCUGUCAAGAUCAUCGGCCAUGACAGUGGCUGGAUGGAGGCCACCUCAUCCAUCUGGUCCUGGCAUUUCUGAGAAAGGACCAUGCUGAACCAUGCAGAGCAAAUUUGCAAGGUUAUAAUUCUUUGAUUUGGGUAAAGUGUCUGGUGUUGGAGCUGAGAGGCAUCAAUGGAUAAUACUUUUUAUGCUAUUUGCUCUUCUUUAGUGCUAUCUCAUGGACUGCCUCAUUGGUUGUCACAAUAAUACUGUGAGUUGGGAUUCCAUUUGAGAACCAACUCUAGUCAGCCUUCAGGCUGGUCCAUGAUCAAGGACCUACAAGACGAAGUGACAGCCCAGUGACUCUACAAGUUCACCUGUCCCUCAUCUCCACAGCCCUGCAGCAUCAAUGGGCAUGCUGUGAAUGCUGGAGGACUGACCAGCAUGCCCCGAUUGUUCUCUAUUACUUGGAGUGUUAAGUCUUAUCUCCUUGGCUAGAUUGAAAGAAUCGGGAAUAGAAGCUAUAUGCUAGAAAGCCAUGCACAGCCAGCCACUGUGGCUGUCCUACCUGGUAGCCCAGCUCACAUGAGACUGACCCAGGACACCACGGGACCACUCCAGACCCCCUGUUAACCUUUCCUGGCACAUCCAAGCAAAGGGCUGAUACUCACUGCAAGGUGGUGCCCCACCUUUCCACAGCCCAUCACCACCACCACCCUCUUCUCCAGAAUCUAGCUCUUUAGGCUAAUAUGGAAAUGAAGAAAAGAGGAUUUGUCCACGCAUGUGACUGAGGAGAUAGUUGGAGAGAUGGUCUUAGGGAAAGAAUCAACAGGAGCUGGGGCAAAUCAACAGGAGCUGGGGCAAAUCAGCAGGAACUGGGGCAAGGCAGUCUUCCAAAGGAAGGGACUAUUGAUGAUGCAGACACCAACUGUCUACCAUGAUGGUUUGUUCUGAAGAGUAACAUAUGAUUUGUGCAGCAGAAUUCCUCAUAAUAAUGAAGAAAACAAUGAGAGAUCAUGAAUGUUUGACCCCAUAUAUACACACACGUCUGCACAACUACCUACUGGCAAAUUCUCCUGGGGUGAGCAGUGGAAUUCAGUUCAGAAGUGAUCUUUUUUGGCAGAAACAAGUCAGGAGGAAUUCUACGUGAACACCAUCGGCCCUUGGUGUUAUGCCUGGCUCAAGCCAGCAUUAUCUGUCAUUCAGUUUCAGGAGCAUCUGACACACCUUUUCAUGCUGAGAGCUAAUUGCCCUAUUUUCAAACCUGGACCUGUCCCUCCAGUGAUAUUUUUCCAAUUGCAGUGAUAUAUUUGUGUAGCCAGCAAGCACUGCCAAAGCUAUAGCUAUUCUGGAGUGUCGUUGGGGUAGGGAGCAGGGGAAUUAUGCAGCAAUACAGUAAACAAAAGUAAA
RNAcentral lists this long non-coding RNA (1638 nucleotides) under Homo sapiens (human). Its description in RNAcentral is "HSALNT0392818". The record is from RNAcentral. Lineage: Eukaryota; Metazoa; Chordata; Mammalia; Primates; Hominidae.